UGAGGUCAUAGCUGUAAAACCUAUAAAAGGAGGAGCUGCAACCCAAUAGCAGGCCAGUCGCCGCCUCUGCCUUUUUGACUGCGAUCGACCCUUUUCUGACAAAAUAAACUUUUUAUUUGACUUCUAUUCAGCUCGUCUCUACGUGAGUGUCACCGCCAGUCUCUUCCGCAGUAUUGGGUGCGUUGGCCAGGAAGGGAAGAGGCGCACGUCCCCUGGAUUUCCUGGGUUCCCCUUCUAGGACUCAGAGGCUCAAACCUCAAACAGAGACAGCAGAAGGAAGGAAUUCAAGUGGGUGAAAUCGUCAGUCUGAAUGGGGCUGGCCAGCAGGUCAGGUGGGGUCCAGAGCACGCGACAGGCACCACAGCUGGCCAUGUGCUGUGGGAGCGUCCCUAGGGCUGGCCCCUGCCUGGAAUCAUCAGAAGGGGGACUGAAGAGAUUCGGAUGGAUGCCCAGGGCGCGGUCACGCCACGAUCCUUUCAACUCUGUACCUCAGGGGAUGAGGGUUUCCAGGGGGGAGACACCACGAAGAGGGGGCUGGCUCUCCUGGGAUCCCGGGGGAGCCUCAUUAGCCCAGGAAGACGGGGCUGGUGCUCUGUGGGGUCUGCGUGUCAGGGCCUGGGAGGGUGCGAGGUAGUGUCGCUCUGUUAGUGUGACCCCCCUGCUGGGGUGCUUUCUCCGCUCCUCUUGACUCCGCCCUCACUUCCCCCCACCAGGCUGACUGUCUGAGGGAUAUGGCUCUGGUCCUGGUUCUGGUUCCAGCUCCCUCCCAGGCCUGUGGGUGGCCCGGAGUCCGGCUCUCCUCAUGCUGUGAGGCAGCUGCAGUCCAGUAUCUGCAGCUCAGGCCCCGGAGUCUCACAGGGGCCUCCAAGCAUUGCUGCAAGCUCCCCGCCCCGGCCUUCCACUGCCUCUGGGGGUCUGUGGCUCCCGACUCAGACCGGAACCCACCCAGGUCUUCCCCAUCAGCCCCUCCUGUCCAAGCUGACACACACUCACGUGGCUUUGGUCACCCUUGGCACAUCCCGCGUUUGCCUCGGACCGCAGCUCUUGCUCCUCCAGCAGAUGGAAAGCCCCUCAAGGACCCAGACUCACUUCUGCCCCACACGGCCAGUGCUUGGCACCUCGGGGCUGGCCGGAUGCGUACCUGGGUGAACUUGAGCCUGCCUGUGGGCACAACCUGUUGCCAGCCCCCUAACUGCACGGGCUCUUUGAGGGACCCGAGGGAGCCUCCUGGAGGCAGAGGGCGAGGCUGGGCUGGUGGGGUCUCCUUCCUGAGGCCUCUCGGCCGUCCUGGGACAGCAGCAUGUGGACCCCCUUCUGUCCCCCGCGCGCCCUGUGACACGGGUCUGGCUCAGCCUCCGACUGGGUGCCCACCGGGCGCCCCUCUGAAGGGCCGGCAGACGAAGAAUGGGCACCCCAGGGAUCUUGGAGCUCUGUCUUUGGGACCUCAGCCCCUACCGGAUCUGUCAGCUUGUUGGAGCCAGAGGCCAGCAGUGUGGCCAGAGACACCACCGGGAUCAAGGACGAACUGAAGAAGAGGAGGCUCUAGGAGGGCACGGCCGCAUCUUUGCAAGAGGUCUCUUCGGAAGCUGGUUAUUUACUGUUCCUCAAGACUGAUGCAAAUGAGCGUGAGAGGGACGGGGAGGAGGUUCAGUGUGAUGGCCAGAGGAGCCCCAAACGACUCACUCCCAGGCCCUUUUGAUUCCACCAACGUGCAGGUGUGUCUUUUUUUUUUUGUACCGGGAAUCGAACUCGGGUCUUUGGGUUUGCGAGGCACAGGCGUGUGUCUUGGUCUCCAGCUCUCAACAACGCCUGGGGCCCUUCCUCCCA
Molecule: long non-coding RNA, 1827 nt
Organism: Fukomys damarensis (Damara mole-rat)
Lineage: Eukaryota; Metazoa; Chordata; Mammalia; Rodentia; Bathyergidae
Source: Ensembl